AGUUCGGAUUGUAGUCUGCAACCCGGCUACAUGAAGCUGGAAUCGCUAGUAAUCGCGGAUCAGAAUGCCGCGGUGAAUACGUUCCCGGGUCUUGUACACACCGCCCGUCACACCAUGGGAGCCGGAAAUGCCCGAAGUCAGUGACCCAACCGCAAGGAGGGAGCUGCCGAAGGUGGAGCUGGUAACUGGGGUGAAGUCGUAACAAGGUAGC
RNAcentral lists this ribosomal RNA (211 nucleotides) under uncultured bacterium. RNAcentral's name for it is "partial 16S ribosomal RNA". It matches the Rfam family "Bacterial small subunit ribosomal RNA", at positions 1290 to 1500 of the family's 1533-position model. The record is from RNAcentral.